RNAcentral lists this transfer RNA (62 nucleotides) under Sinolapotamon patellifer. RNAcentral's name for it is "tRNA-Gly". Lineage: Eukaryota; Metazoa; Arthropoda; Malacostraca; Decapoda; Potamidae. The record is from RNAcentral.
AUUUUCUUAGUAUAUAAGUACAUUUGACUUCCAAUCAAAAAGUCUAAUUUUUAGAGAAAAUA